GAUGAACGCUGGCGGCGUGCCUAAUACAUGCAAGUCGAGCGAACAGAUGAGAAGCUUGCUCCUCUGACGUUAGCGGCGGACGGGUGAGUAACACGUGGAUAACCUACCUAUAAGACUGGGAUAACUUCGGGAAACCGGAGCUAAUACCGGAUAAUAUAUUGAACCGCAUGGUUCAAUAGUGAAAGACGGUUUUGCUGUCACUUAUAGAUGGAUCCGCGCCGCAUUAGCUAGUUGGUAAGGUAACGGCUUACCAAGGCAACGAUGCGUAGCCGACCUGAGAGGGUGAUCGGCCACACUGGAACUGAGACACGGUCCAGACUCCUACGGGAGGCAGCAGUAGGGAAUCUUCCGCAAUGGGCGAAAGCCUGACGGAGCAACGCCGCGUGAGUGAUGAAGGUCUUCGGAUCGUAAAACUCUGUUAUUAGGGAAGAACAAAUGUGUAAGUAACUAUGCACGUCUUGACGGUACCUAAUCAGAAAGCCACGGCUAACUACGUG
Molecule: ribosomal RNA, 497 nt
Filed under: uncultured bacterium
Lineage: Bacteria
Description: partial 16S ribosomal RNA
Rfam family: Bacterial small subunit ribosomal RNA
Source: RNAcentral